Molecule: long non-coding RNA, 4598 nt
Organism: Brassica napus (rape)
Lineage: Eukaryota; Viridiplantae; Streptophyta; Magnoliopsida; Brassicales; Brassicaceae
Exons: 2
Source: RefSeq, a predicted model, not a curated record
UCUUAAGGGGCUUAUAAAAGGUCUUAAAGUUGAAGACUAUUAUGAUUUGGAUGUGAAAACGACAUCACCACAAGCUGAUAUGAAUCAAAAACAGACAUACUUGACCACAACUCUUAAGACAGAGAGAGUAUGAAAUUAAACACAGAGUAUGAAAAUAGACAGAUGACUGACUACAUGUCAGUUUUUGGCUUGUUGGAUGGAAAACAAUGGCUUAAUCCAAGUCUUAAGACAGAGAUUAUGAAACAAACAUUGAGUUGGUUUUGACUUGAUUGCUGGGAAAAACUACCAACAACAGGUUAAACCAAGUCUUAAGACAGAGAGUAUAGACCAAAAAUUGAGUUUCUUGCUACACACAGCUCAUGAAAGGUCUUCAAGAUGAAGACUAUGAACUGGAUGUAAAAACGACUAACCGUGGAUGGAAAACAAUGGCUUAAUCCAAGUCUUAAGACAGAGAUUAUGAAACAAACAUUGAGUUGGUUUUGACUUGAUUGCUGGGAAAAACUACCAACAACAGGUUAAACCAAGUCUUAAGACAGAGAGUAUAGACCAAAAAUUGAGUUUCUUGCUACACACAGCUCAUGAAAGGUCUUCAAGAUGAAGACUAUGAACUGGAUGUAAAAACGACUAACCGUGGAUGGAAAACAAUGGCUUAAUCCAAGUCUUAAGACAGAGAUUAUGAAACAAACAUUGAGUUGGUUUUGACUUGAUUGCUGGGAAAAACUACCAACAACAGGUUAAACCAAGUCUUAAGACAGAGAGUAUAGACCAAAAAUUGAGUUUCUUGCUACACACAGCUCAUGAAAGGUCUUCAAGAUGAAGACUAUGAACUGGAUGUAAAAACGACUAACCGUGGAUGGAAAAAUACGACCACCGGUUUAAUUGCACACAAACCUACUACUUGUUGGAUGGAAAAAACUACCUGCGGCUUAGAAAAGUCUUACACAAAGACAAUGGUUGUUUGAGUUGUUGUAUGGUAAACACGACUUAAACAUAGACUAUGAACCAAAACAAUAAUCAAAAGGCUUAAUAACCACUAGACAGAGAAGGACCAAAAGCUGAAAAAGAGUUUAAGACAGGUUAUAUGAAUCAAAAACAGACUCCUUACUUCACCACAAGCCUUGGCAAAGUAUUUAGACAAAUGGAAAACAACCACUGGCUUAAACCAAGUCUUAAGACAGAGACUAUGACCCAAAGUAGAGUUUGUUUUUGGCUUGAUGGAAGGGGAAAACGACCGAUGGCUUAAACUAAGUCUUAAGACAGAGACUAUGAGCCAAAAUUGAGUUCGUUUCUGGCUUGAUGGAAGGAGAAAACGACCAACUGAAUGGCCUAAACCAAAUCUUAAGACAGAGACUAUGAUGAACCGAAAUUGAGUUGGUUUUUGGCUUAUUAGAUGGGGAAAGUGACUAACAACUUAAACCAAGUCUUAAGACAGAGACAAAUGAACUGAAAACUGAUUAUGUGCUUUACUAUCCGGGACUUAAAAAAGUUCUCAAAUAGUGUUACCCGAAACUAUGAAUGGGAUAUAGAAAGUCUUUAGACCAAAGAUUCGACUUGUUAGAUAAGAAAAAGACUAUGAAUGUCUAACACAUUCAUUACUUUACCACUCACAACGUAAAAUUCACAAGGUAAGAAUGAGGCAUUUAAGUGAAGCAGAGACUGAUUAAUUCUGAAUUUUGCAGGUAUGUAUGUGCUACUUCAAAUUGUUAGAGACUUAUAGAAGAUUUCAAGUGUAGCAGAUUUCUUUGACAGGUAUGUGCAUUUCAAAUUUGUUUGUAAUUUAGUUGGUACAAUUAUGAAAAUUGAGACACAAACAUGAAGUAAAGAUUAGUUUCAUCUGUUCAGGUUUGUGCUUCAUAAACUGCUCAUAUCUUCAUUGAGGCAAAGGCUUUCUCAGGUAUAUGCUUUUCUUGACUUUGCUCUUGUAUAAAUGGGUUUCUUUACUUACGAAAAUUUACAAAGCUAAGUGAUAUAUGCGUAGAUAAAAGAAACUGGAAAUGAAUAUCUAUGCUCCAUUUAAUCUGACUAGUCAACAUUUCUAUCAUUGGUUUAGCUAGCAUCCGUGAGAUUCUAGAAAAUUAAUUCCUAACAUAUCCACUGAUGAACAGGUAGAUUUUCUAUUUUGAUUUUGGAGCAUUACUUUUUUUGUUUUCAGUAUUUGUAAUCUCUAUUGCAUGUAUUAUAAGGUCUCUAAUUUUGUCAAAUAAAUAUACCUAGUAGCUCUUGUAGAUCAAAGUAGGUGAGAGACACUCCUGCAUCUUGUGGUGCUAGUUUUCUUAAGUUUCGAAUGUUUCUGUUUUGUGUUAUUCUCCUGACCUUCACUGAUCAUUCUAAAUAGUGUUAAUAAAACUAUUUAUAGUUUGGUACUUGUAUGCAUUGUAAGGUCUCUCACUUUGUGAAAUGGAUGUAUCUUGUAGUAAGUGAGAGCCUCCUGCAGAUUUGUGGUGCUAAUUUCAUUGAAUUUCGAAUGUUUCUGUUUUUGUGUAAUCUCUCUCUAUUGCAUGUAUUAUAAGGUUUCUAAUUUGUUGAAAUGGAUGUAUCUUGUAGUCUCUUGUAGAUCAAAGUAGGUGAGGCUCUCCUGCAGAUUCGGGUGGUAGUUUCAUUGAAUUUCAAAUGUUUCUGUUUCUGUGUCAAUACUCCUCCUAACCCUGAAUGAUCGUUCUAAACAUGUACAGUGUUAGUAUUCUCUUUAGUUUGGUGCUUUCAUCUACUACAAGGUUUCUCAUUUUAUGAAAUAGAUGUAUCUCUUGUAGAUUCAACAUAUCUGAAAGACUAGAGAUGGUGGUAGUAGUUUCUUUGCAUCUUGAAUGUUAUGUUUUCUUUAAUGCUCUUUACCCUGGGUGAUCAUUUUAAACAUGUGAAAUGACAUCUCUACGCUGAUGAUUACUAUGUUAGAUUAUUUAAAUUGUAUAUGUUGACUUGAAAAUUUCAAUUGUUAUGGUACUUGUAUCUAUGCCUUGGUUUGUGAGUCUUGUCAAAAAUAUACAUCACUUAAUUUUCACAAUUUAUGGAAUUCUUCAUCAUAUGCUGAUGAACACGUUACAUUUAUAGAUUUAAAUGUUGAAUUGAGUUUUACUAUAACAGUGAUCGAGAAUUCUAUGUUAUAUACAUGUGUCUAUCCUGUGAUCUCUUAGUCGUACAGAGCCGAUGAAUCUUCUUAAGUUUCUAUGAUUGAUGUCAAAUUCAAGAAAGUAGUUGUAUGUAAAGUCUAGUAGUUGUAAACAUUUGGAAUAGGUGCUCUGGUCUUCUCUUCUCUUUAGGUCGACUAAAUGUGAUGUCAGAUAUUUUUUCUGAAAAUUAUUGACUCUAGUUUAUGUACAAAACCAUCCAAUUUUCUGUUUGUUGUCCGUCAAAUUAUCACACUGAAUUACUAUUACAUACUAAAAUAAUAAGACUCGGAUGUGUUAUAUGAUCAUCUAAGGAACGGCAUAAUGUGAUUGGAGAGUCAUGCUAUUGUAGAUAAGAUUCAGCUGUAAUCUUUAACGAAAAAUAAACUUAGUUGUUGUCUGUCUAAACUAAAGAUCAUUUGAAUUUUGAUGUUAUGUACAUAUAAACAGUAAUGUCUUUAUGUACUUUUCAGCUGUGGUAGAAUGUUCUUGCAUUUUGGUUGGUUUAUCCUAUGGUGUAUGAAUUAUUGAUUAUCUUAUUGCAUAUUGCUCUUUAGAAUAUAAUUAGCUAUUGUAUAAAUUGAUUUCUCGACUCUUUCAGUCAUAAAUUGAUUCUUGUACGUUUAUCAUAAAUUAAAGAGAAAUUACUUAGAAUAAAUCUAAUUAAUCUAAAAAUUACUAGAAUGACUCAUAUUAAAUUUUAAUUACUAGACUAAAAUGAGAUACAAGCAAAUUUACCGAAAACCCAUUUCUAACUUGAUUAACUACAAGUUUGCCUUUAUAGUAAGUUAAAAAAAUGGAAAAUAUAGGUUAAAAUAAUAAAAAUAAUAAUAAUUAGAAAAGAAGGUGACGACAAAAAAAAAAUUAGAAAAGAAGAAAAGAGUUUAUCGGGUCUCUCUCACGAGUCACGGCGUCGACGAAACUGGAGGUGAAGCCAUCUCCGAUCGAGAGUCGCCGUCAUCCCUAUCCCACUCCUGCAAUAUCUACUCCGACGCUGUCGUCGUUAAUUUCGGCACCUCCUCGCCAAGUCGCCAUCGUCCCUGUCGUGUAAGCCCUAGGUCUGAUUUGUCUUUCCUUUUAAAUCGACGAAAUUGAAAUUGUGCGAGCUGUCACUGUCCAUGCAACGAAUAAAUACUCUGUGUCUGCAUCGCUUUGACAGUGCUUGGUGCUUCUAUGAUAUGUCCUCCGGUUUAUGCUUUGCCCAGAUUCGGAAGAAGAUGGGUUUGUUCUUGUUGAUGUUUCAUCUUCUAGGUCUCAUGGAGAAAGGCUCGUCUACAGUUUGCAUCUUCAAAUGGGAAACAUAAAUAAUCACGAGCUGACGUGCGAAGAGCUAAGCCAGAGAAUGUAUACUUGUAUGAGGAAUGCGGAAACUCGUUUAGAUGAUAAUCUGUUCUUGUUUCUUUUAGUUAUGUCAUCUGUUUCUCAACAUGUAACAUUCAUGUAGCCGAGUUGUUUCGUUUAUUUUCUUGUCGAAAUCAAUGAUCGAUUAUCACA